AGGUGAGCGGCAGCUACCAUGCAGUCGAGCGGUAACAGGGGUAGCUUGCUACCCGCUGACGAGCGGCGGACGGGUGAGUAAUGCAUAGGAAUCUGCCCGAUAGUGGGGGAUAACCUGGGGAAACCCAGGCUAAUACCGCAUACGUCCUACGGGAGAAAGGGGGCUCCGGCUCCCGCUAUUGGAUGAGCCUAUGUCGGAUUAGCUAGUUGGUAAGGUAAUGGCUUACCAAGGCAACGAUCCGUAGCUGGUCUGAGAGGAUGAUCAGCCACAUCGGGACUGAGACACGGCCCGAACUCCUACGGGAGGCAGCAGUGGGGAAUAUUGGACAAUGGGGGCAACCCUGAUCCAGCCAUGCCGCGUGUGUGAAGAAGGCCCUCGGGUUGUAAAGCACUUUCAGCGAGGAAGAACGCCUAUCGGUUAAUACCCGGUAGGAAAGACAUCACUCGCAGAAGAAGCACCGGCUAACUCCGUGCCAGCAGCCGCGGUAAUACGGAGGGUGCAAGCGUUAAUCGGAAUUACUGGGCGUAAAGCGCGCGUAGGUGGCUUGAUAAGCCGGUUGUGAAAGCCCCGGGCUCAACCUGGGAACGGCAUCCGGAACUGUCAGGCUAGAGUGCAGGAGAGGAAGGUAGAAUUCCCGGUGUAGCGGUGAAAUGCGUAGAGAUCGGGAGGAAUACCAGUGGCGAAGGCGGCCUUCUGGACUGACACUGACACUGAGGUGCGAAAGCGUGGGUAGCAAACAGGAUUAGAUACCC
This 752-nucleotide ribosomal RNA is filed under the name Halomonas sp. Its description in RNAcentral is "bacterial SSU rRNA". It matches the Rfam family "Bacterial small subunit ribosomal RNA", at positions 33 to 787 of the family's 1533-position model. Lineage: Bacteria; Pseudomonadati; Pseudomonadota; Gammaproteobacteria; Oceanospirillales; Halomonadaceae. The record is from RNAcentral.